AUUUUGAAUUAGACCAAAUUAUUAUCCUUAUGUUUAAGAUAGAUUCAUCAUUUCCUGCAACAGUAUGAGCACAUUAUCUAAUCAAUUUAAGCAUAUUUACCAAGCAUGUCAUAAGUAUGAAAAACAAUAUCAAUUUUCUCUUAAAUAUUCUUGUGCUAUUCCAUAUAAUUACAGUCAUCAAUCCUACAAUUGUAAAAUCUUUUCUGUGCACUCUUGAUGCUAUUCUAAGAAAUAGUUACUUCUUUUAUUUUCUUAUAAAUAAAUUUUGUAGAAAUUUUGUCUUUUUUAGAAACUAUUUUAUCAUAUCAGCAUUAACCAAGGACAAACACAUAACCUCUCUCCCUCUUUUACAGCCAGUCCUGUUGUAAAAGAGGGAAAAAGUUGUUGGUUUUAUGACCAUGUAAUAGUGUUCAUUUGCUUGGGUUAAUUCAGAUUACUACAUUUAAAGUUUUUUUAGAGGAGUUCUUCAUUGAACUCCUCCACCUCCUGAAUCCUAGUGUCUAUCCUAUGGUAAUCAGAAGAAUAUGGUGGAUGAGCUAUAAUUAAAUUUGAUUAUCCUCACUUUUUCUUAGCAGAUGGGUCUGGUCUGUUGUCAUAUAUAGGAGAAUGAAAAUCCUUCAUCCCUACAGCUGAUUCCAUCAUAUCUAUCUGGCUGACUCAAUGGUGGGUUCUAUUCAAAGUCCACCAUUGGUCAAUCCAUGGUGGGCUUUGAAAUUACUAUUGCCAUAUUCAAUUAUGUCCUCAAUCUCGUGUGAGAUUUAUAACUGAAUAUGAUAAUUUCAAAGCCCAUCAUGGAUUGACCAAUGAGGAAUCCUUUUGUAUGUUAGAGAAAAGUUUUUACCAGUAGACAAAAGAGGUUUUGAUAAGUGGGCCAUUGGCAAGAGUGAUUGUGGAGCUUGUUUAAAGAUAUAAAGAAGGAAGAGCCUUCCUGAAGUUUAUGAAUUUGAUUAAAUUGUACUACAGGUAUGUACAGAUGUCUAAUAGCAUGAGAAUAAAGUCAUAGUGUAAAAAAAUCAUAAUAGAGAAAUGAUAGAUCAAACUAUUUGCUCCUUUAGGUUAAAUCUAAACUAGUGCAGUGAUCAAAAAAAUCUAUUUUCUGGAUGUUGAAAUGAGUAUAAGUGAAGAGGAGUGUCACAUGAGAAUCUAUUGAAAGCCAUUGUAUGAUUUAAUUUUCAUCCUGAAAGUGCAAUUUAAAAAAUCAGGAUUUAGAAUAAUAUUCUGUAGAAGGUAUAUGCCUUAUAACAGUGUCUCAUCAAGGAAGGAAAAGAACAAUCAAAUAAUAAUCUAUGGUUAUAUGUGACGAUUCAGCCAAAAGUUUGAGGUGUGUCUAUGAGGAAAUAAUGUGUAAACUAGAAGAAUAAAGAUAAAGAAAAUUUAAAAAAGAGGCUAAAAGAACAUGAAGAAAAUAUUUGAUAAGAAAAACUACAAUACCACUAAUCUGUAAAGUGUUUGAACACAAUGCUAGUAUAGAAUGAAACAAAACAAAGAUAAUGAGGACAAAUAUGAAAUUCAUGGAGGUUACCCACAGCCAAAGUGAUUGAGAUCAAAUAUAAAAGAAAGAACCCAAAGUAUCAUUGAUAAUAACUGUCCUAACUUUUCACUGUCAUGUUUAUGGUAUUUUAAGUAUAUUAACAAUAUAUAAAUAUGGAGAAAAAAUGUUCUCUCUUAGUACACAAUGAUUUUUCAUAUCACAUGUAUUUAAUAUAUAUUCUAUAUCAAUAAAGUCUUAUGUAAUCUCACUUGCUUAUUAUCAACAGUUCAUAAAAGCAAACAGCACAAAUUGCAAGCAUAGCACGGUUUUGUUUGGUAGAGCGUUUUCGGUCCAUCAUGCGGGCCCUCUUCAGUGCGUGCAGGGGAGAUCGGA
RNAcentral lists this long non-coding RNA (1864 nucleotides) under Androctonus crassicauda. The record is from RNAcentral. Lineage: Eukaryota; Metazoa; Arthropoda; Arachnida; Scorpiones; Buthidae.